AUUUAUAUAGUAUAAAUAAUUACAUUUAACUUCCAAUUAAAAAAUUUGGUUAAUACUAAUAUAAAUA
This 67-nucleotide transfer RNA is filed under the name Pseudomyrmex particeps. RNAcentral's name for it is "tRNA-Gly". Lineage: Eukaryota; Metazoa; Arthropoda; Insecta; Hymenoptera; Formicidae. The record is from RNAcentral.